This 444-nucleotide ribosomal RNA is filed under the name uncultured bacterium. RNAcentral's name for it is "partial 16S ribosomal RNA". It matches the Rfam family "Bacterial small subunit ribosomal RNA", at positions 338 to 795 of the family's 1533-position model. The record is from RNAcentral.
CCUACGGGUGGCAGCAGUGAGGAAUAUUGGUCAAUGGGCGAGAGCCUGAACCAGCCAAGUCGCGUGAAGGAUGAAGGCUCUAUGGUUUGUAAACUUCUUUUCUCAGGGACGAAGCAAGUGACGGUACCUGAGGAAUAAGCCACGGCUAACUAAGUGCCAGCAUCCGCGGUAAUACGUAGGUGGCAAGCGUUAUCCGGAUUUACUGGGUGUAAAGGGCGUGGAGGCGGGACUGCAAGUCAGAUGUGAAAACCACGGGCUCAACCUGUGGACUGCAGUUGAAACUGUAGUGCUUGAGUACUGGAGAGGCAGACGGAAUUCAUAGUGUAGCGGGGAAAUGCGUAGAUAUUAGGAGGAACACCAGUGGCGAAGGCGGUCUGCUGGACAGCAACUGACGCUGAGGCGCGAAAGCGUGGGGAGCAAACAGGAUUAGAUACCCUUGUAGUC